UCACUAUAAAUACACCAAAAAAUACUAAGUAAAUUUUAAUCAAAAACUAGCCCUUUCAUCUGCGCUUGCGCCCUUGGACUUGAGAAGAUACGCGCGAUUUUACUUCGGUCAGAGACGGUUGGUUCAGAGAAUGUAGAAGUGCUCUGGUUGGGUUGAACAGCAUCCAUAUGUUAUCUCUGGUGAGUUUUACCUUUCUUUUUAAAAUGUGUAAUAAUAUAUGGGUCAUUUUGUUAGCUUCUUGUUUGCUUGUAUACUAUUCACAGCGAAAUUAGGCUAGACAUAAGUGAUUUAUCUGUGCUAGCUGUAAUUGUUAGUUCUAGAUAGCUACAGUAGCUACAGUAGUUAGCUAGCUAACAUACGUAGCUAACAAUGCAGGAAAGCUCCGCUAUAUAUUUAACUUCUAUAAAAACGUAAGGCACAAAAGUGUAGAGGGAGAUUAUUCACAAGCAGAAAAAAGCAAUUGUUGCUAGCUUUAACUAGCUAGCUGCACAUGGCAAACCAUCGCUAUCAACGUUCUGGAAAAAAUAAUCAUGUCAGGUUAACUUAAAUUUAGCCAUCAAUGUAUCUCUAAUUUAGUAUUUCAAGAUGCCUACUUUAGUGGAUGAGUUAUGUAAAUGUCACUUGAAUGAAUUUACAACAUGCUGACCAAACCAGGGUAUAUACUGGAAUAUAGCUAACUAGUUCAUCUAACCUUUCUGCACUCGGUAGCACGUGUCAGCAGCAUGAUUGCCAGUUCCUUGUGCUACCAGUCAGCAGCAGGAUUGCCAGUUCCAGCAAACAUUUCCAGCCCAAAGAGUGCUCAAAACCAGCCCAAAAUGCCUGAAAACUAGCCCAUUAAUUUUUGGGUGUACAAGUGUACAAGUUAAACAUUUAUCCCCAAAAAUUAUAAUGUAAAAAUAACUGGUGGAUUAAUAUUUUCCUUAUUUUCUGCUAUUCUCUCUUUUUUCGUACAUUGGCUAUUCUUUAAGAGCACUUGAUAAGGAGACUGACAGUAAUUUAACAUGUUUCUAUCAACAGUAAUCAGUGAGUUGGAAGGGAUAGGUCAGAGGAGUGAUUGGCUGUAACAUUAGUAGGCAAGUAGAAAUCUGUAUUUAUGAAACAAUAUUACUGUUUAUCUUCAAUGAAAUGAUAAUUUUUUUAAUAUCACAAAUUGUGUGUUCUUUUACAGGGUGACCUUACGGUUAGGACGGGUCCAGGGAGGAAGUCCAUUAGAUGGAUGUCAUCAGUGAGAAACCGUAGGCAUACUAUGAGAUGGUCAUGCAAAAAUUGCGAAUUUAGGGCAUCAAAACGUUUAGAGCUUUUAAAGCAUUAUAGAUUGAAACAUCUACACACCGGUCAGGGCCGGUCACUACCCUGCUUGUACUCUGAUUGUCCUUGUUCAUUUAAAGGAUGGGGUGCACUUCGCACACAUUUGUCUAGAGAUCAUACACCAACUGAACAGUUUGAGCAGAUAGUUUCAUUUUCAUGUCUUGUAUGCCAUUUAUCUAGUUUUCACACAGAGAGGCAAUAUUUUGAACAUCUCGGAGCUCACCUGAAAAAGCACGAAACUCUUCAUUGUGUCUUUAAAGAUUGUGACUACAGUACUAAUAUAUAUUCAACUUUUGCUUCACAUAAAAGUAGAAAGCACAAUCCUCACUGCCUUGAUGAUUUUAAACAUACUGUACUUUCGACAUAUUCAAGUCAGGCUACAGAGGAUAGUAGUGUGUUGGUAGAAGAGCGUGAAGUUACUUCAAAUGAAACGCUUGUCAGAGAGGAUGACGAUUUAGUUAAAGUCAUUGUUGAUAAGCUUGGUUCCUUGUUGCUUAAAUUAGAAUGCAUCUUCAAUGUGCCUAGUAGAUGUAUAGAUGACAUUGCAGAGGAGCUUCAAUUUAUUACUUGUUCAGCAUCCUCACCCAUUAUCAAAAACAUUGUCCAUACUACAUUUGAAAACCAUAACUGCGCUGUUGAAGAAUUGGUGAUCACAGAAUUGGUGAAUAGCAUUUGCCAAUUGAAUCCUGUAAGUGCAGCCUUUAGUGAAGAAGGUCCUCUUGGCACAGCAUACCAGAGAAACAAGUACUUGAAAGAACGUUUCUCUAUUGUUGAACCGUUAGAGUAUAUAUUAGAUGCAAAAGAGGGAAGGACUUUUCAAUAUGUACCAAUUUUGCAAUCCUUGUCACAAGUUCUGAAAAAUGUUGACAUUCAGGAGAAGCUGUUAAAGACUGCAAGACGUUGUGGUUCUUCAUGUCAGUAUACAAGUUUUCAUGAUGGUUCCCACUUCAAAGAAAACAGCUUUCUAUCUGGAGAGGAGUUAAGACUUUCAAUUUUACUCUACUGUGAUGAUUUUGAAAUAUGUAAUCCAUUAGGAACCUCUCGUAAGAAGCACAAGGUAACAGGUGUCUACUGGGUGUUGGCUGAUAUUCCAUCUGUAUUAAGGUCAACAUUAUCUUCCAUUUACUUAGCUGUUUUGUGCAAGGCAGACGACGUAAAGAAAUUUGGCUAUCCUCAAGUGCUAGAGCCAUUAUUAAGUGAUUUGAAAAGCUUAGAAGAGGAUGGUCUUUUUGUACCCUGUUUGGGAAAAAUCAUAAAGGGCACUGUAUUUUCUGUGAUUGCCGAUAACCUUGGUGCCCACUCAGUCGGGGGGUUUGUUGAAAGUUUCAGUGGGUCAUACAAUUGCAGAUUUUGUGUCGGACAGCGGUCCCAGUUUCAGGAACUUGAAGUCAGGACAGGAGCAUUCCUUGGUAGAACAAAACAGCAACACCAGUUGGAUGUUGAAGCAGCAUUGGCUAGUAACACCCAUAGCCAUGGAGUUAAAAGGCAUUGUGCAAUUACUCAAAGGUUAAAGCAUUUUCAUGUGACAACAGGUUACCCACCGGAUGUAUUACAUGAUUUACUUGAGGGUAUUGUACCUGUAGAAUUGGCAUUGUGUUUAGAUAUCUUGAUCAAAAAAAAAUAUUUCUCUCUUGAAGAGCUCAAUAGUAUCAUCAAGAAGUUCCCAUAUAAGUGGAAAGACAGAACAAAUUGUCCGAUACGUAUACCACCAACCUUUUCCUCUCGUAACACCAUUGGUGGUAACGCACAUGAAAAUUGGUGCUUACUGAGGUUGCUUCCACUUAUGAUUGGCUCUAAAGUACAGGAAGAGGAACAGACAUGGCAGUUGUUGAUGACACUCAAAGAUGUUGUUGAGUUGGUUAUGUCACCUACCCACACAGAUGAAAGCAUUGGUCACCUAGAUAGCCUUAUUGCUGAGCAUCGGCGUAGAUUUAGCAGUGUUUUUCCACAAAGAAAAUUGAUUCCAAAACACCAUUUUGUAGAGCAUUACCCGCAGCUCAUUAAAGCAUUCGGCCCAUUAGUGUCCUUAUGGACGAUGAGGUUCGAAGCCAAACACCGCUUCUUUAAGAAGAUAGUGAGACAGACAAGCUGUUUCCGUAACAUUUUAAAGUCUAUGGCAAAAAAACACCAGUCCAUGAUUGCAUACCAUCUCCAUGGUUCAAAUGUCAAUAAACCUGCUGUCUCUGUAUCAAAGAUGUCAAGGGUUCCAUUAGAGAUUGUAAAUGAGAACAUACAAGAAUUUCUAUCACAGAAAUUUCCUGAAGAGACAGUUGUUCAUUUGACAAACAAGGUAGAAUCUCAGGGCAUCAGUUACAGUAUUGGCAUGAUGUUGGUCUAUGGCAACACUGGUGGGUUACCAGACUUUGCUGAAAUACUACAAAUCAUGAUAGUUUGUAACAGUGUUGUGUUUGUAGUGAAAAUGCAAAGUACAUGGUACACUGAGCAUUUUAGAUGUUUCAAGGUGGAGUCCACGAGCAUUGUGAAAGUAAUUCAUCAAUCACAACUCACUGACAUGUACCCACUUGCUACAUAUACAAUCGAAGGCUGUCGAAUGGUUUCUUUGAAACACUACAUCUGCUUGUCAAACUAGGUAAAGUUUCACUAUAAACAAAAGUUUUCAUGAAUACUGCAAUCAUAUGCUCUAGCCAUGUCUUUUUUUCCUCUUGCAGUUCUGCUUUCCCAAGGCUGUGAUGUCUAACCCCAGUCAACUACGUGUCAUUAUUGAAGAGACUGAAAUUCACAAAUUAAUCCUACCAGAUGGAAUUCCUAGUACCUUAGACGAACUUUUGGCAGCUGCGAAGCAUAAUUUUGAUCUUGAAGGGAGUUAUGCAGUAAUGCAUAUGGACAAAGAUUUUGAUAACCAAUUCUUUACGUUAACAUCUACAGAUGUGGUCAACGACAAAGACACUAUAAAACUAGUGAAAACAGAUCCUUCUAUUAUUCUCACAUUGAGUCCCAUCAAUGAGCCUGCUGCUUCUUCUUCUCCAGUGCCACUUUCUUUCCAGGAUGACAGUUCCUCAGUUAGUUCAUCCGAUACCUUGAUGUUACCACUGUCCCCAGACUACAGAUCAGAACCGUGGCCAACUACUUUUGUGAUACCCACUUUUUCAUAUAAUGUCGAAAUCCCCCUUCAAGCAGGAAACAAGGCUUAUGAAAGUGAUGGCUCACUCCUUCAAAAUCCAAGCAUGAACUCUGACGUACUUGAGAAACUUGCUGAAGCUAUAUUUCAGUACACUGCCUAUCCCACUGGACGUCAAAUACAGGCAGUUGUAGAAUCCCUGUUGGCAAAGCAUCCUUGCCUAAGGGAGCCUGGAACUUCAUAUUCAGGCAUGUACGGGUGGCAGCAGCGUCUUAAAUACAAGAUGGCAAAUUUCCGUUCUAAACUGCGAAGGCGUGAAGUACAUUGUCCUGAACUUGACAUCAACUCAUUGAAAAGGAAAUCUCCUGGGGAGAAAAAUCCAGCCAAAAACUGUAAGAGACCAAAGAGAGCAGAGGUAAACUACCUUCCUCCACAUCCAAGUGGAGAAACUAGCAACACUCUGGAGAUGGAGAGACUGCAGCUUCUUAAUGAGGUAAAGAAGAAGAACAACACUAAGGUGAUAGCAGAAAAAAUGGCCAAAACAUUCUCCUAUCGAAGGCUUGAGGUUGUGAGUGGUAGUCCAGCUGCCGAUGACUUCCAAGAGAGAUGGCCAGCUUUGUUUUGUGAAGCAGAGAUCAAAGAGGAAUUCAGGAGAAUUACUACAAUUUCCCUGGAGCAGAGAUUCAUGCACAAACUGGAUCACUACACACCAAGACUUAUUUCCCUGAUGAAGGCCAAGGGAGGUGUCGUGGGGACCAAGCUGAGGCCGCUCCUGGACAAACUGAGUCAGCACCAAAGCAUUGAAACGAAACGUGAAGCUGUUAUCCGCAGCCUUAUACUGUACCUUGCAGAGAAAGAAGAGGACCUUUUUGAAGAUUGCCAAGAGGACAGCCGCAGUGAUGCCACUCAACACAUCCUGAAGAUCCUUGUUGUUCAUGGUGCUGAUGGAGAGGAUCCAGUGGAUGUGUCCAUCCUUCUUGAAGGCAAGGAGAUGUUGCCAGGAUGCGGGAGUUCUGCUAAAGCUUGCGCGCUGGUCAUGGGGCUGAUUUAUGCCCUCAACCUGGCAUACCCCCCAACACUGCGCUACACUUUUGAAGUUUUUCAAAAACUUUUCCUAGAACUGGAUGGGAUUAAGCUGUCCCCAAAAAUACAAGCUUUCAAAUGUAAGUUGCUGUCUUAAAUGCUACCACCAUGGCAGGUGCAGUCAAUCUUGUUAGAGCUUAUGACAGUUUAGUUAACAUAUUAUACUCUACCACAAAGUUAAGAAUUUAUUAGUUUGAAAUCCAAUAUGUCAGUUACACACAGACAUGAUUUAAAAAGGAAAUCUACGUUUCUUUUUUUAUUUUACCACGCACUGUCAUAAAACACUUUAUUUUUUAUAAACACAUGCAGCUUUAGAGUUCAUCAGGACAUGUGUUGGCUUUUUGAUGAAGUAACAAUCUGUUGAACCACUCCUUACUGUUUGAAUGCAUUCACAAAGCCUGUUGGCAGAAUUUAUUACUUGCAUUCCUAACCCAAAUACAUGCAUUUUCUUUAGUCAUGUAAGCCUUGCAGUUGUUAAAAUGGUCAUGCUAGACACCUGAGUGUUUCACAGACUUCUGAUUUAAGAGUUUUUGGCUUGUACCUUGUGAAUUGAUAGAGCAGUGAUUUGAUAACAUUUAUAAAAAAAUAAAUUUGGACAAAAGAAAAACUGAUUA
Molecule: RNA transcript, 6084 nt
Organism: Hypomesus transpacificus
Lineage: Eukaryota; Metazoa; Chordata; Actinopteri; Osmeriformes; Osmeridae
Gene name: sterile alpha motif domain-containing protein 3-like
Exons: 4
Source: RefSeq, a predicted model, not a curated record